This 75-nucleotide transfer RNA is filed under the name Candidatus Phytoplasma pruni. RNAcentral describes it as "tRNA-Gly". It matches the Rfam family "tRNA". Rfam says of the family: Transfer RNA (tRNA) molecules are approximately 80 nucleotides in length. Their secondary structure includes four short double-helical elements and three loops (D, anti-codon, and T loops). Lineage: Bacteria; Bacillati; Mycoplasmatota; Mollicutes; Acholeplasmatales; Acholeplasmataceae. The record is from RNAcentral. RNAcentral also lists the same sequence under 2 other names.
GCGGACGUCGUAUAGUGGCUAUUAUACGUGCUUGCCAAGCAUGAGACGGGGGUUCAAUUCCCCUCGUCCGCUCCA